GAUGAAGAACGUAGCGAAAUGCGAUAAGUAGUGUGAAUUGCAGAAUUCAGUGAAUCAUCGAAUCUUUGAACGCACAUUGCGCCCCUUGGUAUUCCAUGGGGCAUGCCUGUUCGAGCGUCAUUUGUACCUUCAAGCUCUGCUUGGUGUUGGGUGUUUGUCUCGCCUCUGCGUGUAGACUCGCCUUAAAACAAUUGGCAGCCGGCGUAUUGAUUUUGGAGCGCAGUACAUCUCGCGCUUUGCACUCAUAACGACGACGUCCAAAAGUACAUUUUUACACUCUUGACCUCGGAUCAGGUAGGGAUACCCGCUGAACUUAAGCAUAUCAAUAAGCGGAGGA
Molecule: unclassified non-coding RNA, 337 nt
Filed under: soil metagenome
Description: partial contains 5.8S ribosomal RNA, internal transcribed spacer 2, and large subunit ribosomal RNA
Rfam family: 5.8S ribosomal RNA (bases 1-120)
Source: RNAcentral